Molecule: ribosomal RNA, 253 nt
Filed under: uncultured bacterium
Lineage: Bacteria
Description: partial 16S ribosomal RNA
Rfam family: Bacterial small subunit ribosomal RNA
Source: RNAcentral
UACGAAGGUGGCAAGCGUUGUUCGGAUUUACUGGGCGUACAGGGCGCGUAGGCGGUUGGAUAAGCCCUCCGUGAAAUCUCCAGGCUUAACCUGGAAAGUGCAGAGGGGACUGUUCAGCUAGAGGAUGGGAGAGGAGCGCGGAAUUCCCGGUGUAGCGGUGAAAUGCGUAGAGAUCGGGAGGAAGGCCGGUGGCGAAGGCGGCGCUCUGGAACAUUUCUGACGCUGAGGCUCGAAAGCGUGGGGAGAAAACAGG